CAGCCGCCGCGGGAAUACGGAGGGGGCUAGCGUUGUUCGGAAUUACUGGGCGUAAAGCGCACGUAGGCGGCCUGGUAAGUUAGAGGUGAAAGCCUGGAGCUCAACUCCAGAAUUGCCUUUAAGACUGCCGAGCUAGCAGGUGAGAGAGGUAAGUGGAAUUCCGAGUGUAGAGGUGAAAUUCGUAGAUAUUCGGAAGAACACCAGUGGCGAAGGCGGCUUACUGGCUCAUACUGGACGCUGAGGUGCGAAAGCGUGGGGAGCAAACAGGAUUAGAUACCCCUGUAGUCCCUGUCUCUUAUAC
RNAcentral lists this ribosomal RNA (301 nucleotides) under uncultured bacterium. RNAcentral describes it as "partial 16S ribosomal RNA". It matches the Rfam family "Bacterial small subunit ribosomal RNA", at positions 509 to 807 of the family's 1533-position model. The record is from RNAcentral.